This 493-nucleotide long non-coding RNA is filed under the name Actinidia chinensis (golden kiwifruit). RNAcentral's name for it is "long non-coding RNA (ACHI_LNC000896)". Lineage: Eukaryota; Viridiplantae; Streptophyta; Magnoliopsida; Ericales; Actinidiaceae. The record is from RNAcentral.
CAUGAAUUAUUUCAUAUUCACAAGUCGGAUCUCACACCCAAGAAAUAUUAUGAAACCCACACUUUAUGUAAUUAUAAAAUAAUUUAUUCGAUAUUUAUGAAUUAUACGUAUAAUUAUUCAAAUUACUAACAUGCCCCAUGCAAGUUGAGGACAACAGCGCCAGCCACACCAGCACACCUACAGCUCCCACUAUCGAAACCACGGCAAGUCCCCGGCAAUACCUAGCGAUUUUCGGAUAUCUCUCCCGAGAGAUAUUGUCAUCACGCGCCGGUGAAAGCGAAGUUGAGAGCCAAGAGAAAACCAUGAAACAGCGAGGGCUUAUCCGUAAAUACGACGUUGGUACUGAAUUGCCAUCUAUGUCCUUUUUGGGAAGUUGUAGAAUUACAAAAACAGCAACAAACGCUAUUCCAAAAAUCAGCUCUUCUAAAGGAACUAUCUUCAUAGUUUUUUUUUUGUUUUUUUGUUGCCUCAGAGAAAACUUGAUGGUCUGUUC